GUGGGGAAUCUUCCGCAAUGGACGAAAGUCUGACGGAGCAACGCCGCGUGAGUGAUGAAGGUCUUCGGAUUGUAAAGCUCUGUUAAUCGGGACGAAAGAGCCUAGUGUGAAUAAUGCUAGGAAGUGACGGUACCGGAAUAGAAAGCCACGGCUAACUACGUGCCAGCAGCCGCGGGAAUACGUAGGUGGCAAGCGUUGUCCGGAAUUAUUGGGCGUAAAGCGCGCGCAGGCGGAUCUGCCAGUCUGUCUUAAAAGUUCGGGGCUUAACCCCGUGAUGGGAUGGAAACUACAGAUCUAGAGUAUCGGAGAGGAAAGUGGAAUUCCUAGUGUAGCGGUGAAAUUCGUAGAUAUUCGGAAGAACACCAGUGGCGAAGGCGACACACUGGCUCAUUACUGACGCUGAGGCGCGAAAGCGUGGGGAGCAAACAGGAUUAGAAACCCCGGUAGUCC
Molecule: ribosomal RNA, 450 nt
Filed under: uncultured bacterium
Lineage: Bacteria
Description: partial 16S ribosomal RNA
Rfam family: Bacterial small subunit ribosomal RNA
Source: RNAcentral